Molecule: RNase MRP RNA, 233 nt
Filed under: Puccinia triticina 1-1 BBBD Race 1
Lineage: Eukaryota; Fungi; Basidiomycota; Pucciniomycetes; Pucciniales; Pucciniaceae
Description: RNase MRP
Rfam family: RNase MRP
About the family: RNase MRP is an enzymatically active ribonucleoprotein with two distinct roles in eukaryotes. In mitochondria it plays a direct role in the initiation of mitochondrial DNA replication. In the nucleus it is involved in precursor rRNA processing, where it cleaves the internal transcribed spacer 1 between 18S and 5.8S rRNAs.
Source: Rfam by way of RNAcentral
CAAGCAAGCCAAGGACCAUAUGUUUUUUGUGUUACACUUUCAGCAUCUAAGCUUAUUAUAUUCAACACAAGGAGAAAGUCCCCGGAAAACAAAUAUCUUCUGUCCAAUGAUUAAAGAUUAGGGCAGUGGGGUAUUUAGUAAAGCAACUUUGUUUGUUGUUUUUUUCAUAAUAAAAGUAAUAUGGUCACCCUAUAAUAAUGGGGCAACUUAAUGGGGCUUACUCUGGCUUGUUU